CCACCGUUGCCAAGGGAUGGGUCCCUGAGACUUGGCGAAGUGGGAGCCCUGUGUGAUCGUGCGUCAGAGUCGGGGCUGAGACCAGCCCCGGCCAGGGUAGUUACCGGGACGGUCUCCGGAGGCCGGGAUUCGCGGAGGGUCCACCAGCAGGAAGAAACCCCAGGAGGAAGAAACCUCAGACAGAUCGCCGGGGAGGCAGCGCGGGAUCCCAGCCUCAGGCGUGCGCGGACGGUGUGCGGGGCUAUCCACUAUAUAAAGAUCUUUAAAAAGGAAAACCUGUAAUAAAUGUGAAGCUAGUGCCUAUUUGCAAGAUGCACAGAAAUGCCUGAGACCAAUUGAAAAUUGCCUGUGAACAAAUACGCUUCCAGAUUUUUAGCUUGCUCUUUUCUAAACAUGAAAAUUCUCAGAAGAUUUUACUGAGAAAUGAGGACCUUAUCUGGACUUCACUGGGAGAAUUAUGAGUGGCCAGAGAUACUACAUUUUGAGCUGGAUGCCAGACCUUGAAAGAACUCUGCAUUUUUCAUUUUGAGAGAAGUCAGUGUGUUUUAUAAUGGGAGGAAGAUUAAAGCAGGUAUUUUGGCAUCAGAAGGACUGACCUUGACAGAGAUUGGUGAGGUCCUGAGAAGAGGAUUAGAAAAAGGCAACACAUCAAAAAGUUAAGAGGCAGAAAUAGCUUUUAUGUUGCUGGUAAAUUUAAUGAGAUCUUAAGUUAUUAGACUGGCAAGUCUCAUCUCUUUGAGCAUCUCAGUGAAGACUGUCAGAAAUCAUCAAAAUUCAACACAACAGAGUAAAAGCUAAUAGCCUUUUUGUUAUACCAAAACUGAAAGGAUUGAUGUUCUUAAGUAACAAAAAGCAAUAAAGAUAAAAUACAGGACAUCAAAGAUAUCACAUACAUUCAUAUAUCUCAAGAAAUGAAAGCAAUGAAAGAGCUGUGGAGGUAAACAUUUGGUACCCAAAAACACAAAGAUGGGAACCAUAAACACUGGAGAUUCCAAAAGAGAAGAGAGAGGGAGCUGGCCAACUGUUGAAAAACUG
This 1035-nucleotide long non-coding RNA is filed under the name Homo sapiens (human). RNAcentral describes it as "HSALNT0402813". The record is from RNAcentral. Lineage: Eukaryota; Metazoa; Chordata; Mammalia; Primates; Hominidae.